UCGUUUGAAAUAGCAUAUCUUCAAUACUUUCAUUUGUUCACAGUUGUACGGGAAGAUACAAGGUUUAAAGACGUACGCAACUACCUCUCCCUCAACGUUUAGGUAUCUGCCAUUAUAUGAGACGGAACGGUGUUAUUUUGAUACCGUGAAAAAAGCCACAGCAGAUGGUUGUGAGUUUUCCAGAGGCCGUCGUGCAAAGUAUUGCUCUGCAAACUUUACCCGUGAUGGAAACAGCACAAAAUUCAACGCAAUGAAUGUCACCUGCAAAGGUCACCUCAGUUUUGCGGAUGCCUAUCGUCUCCCCGAAAAUGACAGAUAUGGAAAGACCCUAUACUAUGUGCUCCGGGCGACGAAGGGCACGAAACUCGACGAGAGUACAUGCUGGAAAAAAUUGCAGAAUAUAAGCCGGGAAACGAGGAAGAACAUAACAAUGUGUUUUACAAAAACAGAAAGACCGUUCUAAAUACGAUAUGAGUAAUGAAAAUUUCCCUGAAAUGAAAUUCUGUUACAGCCUCUUAUCUCUUCAAAAUAUUUUUCCGAGCUUCUCCUGGAACUCUGUCAAUUAUUGUA
Dermacentor andersoni is the source of this 570-nucleotide non-coding RNA. The record is from RefSeq and is a predicted model, not a curated record. Lineage: Eukaryota; Metazoa; Arthropoda; Arachnida; Ixodida; Ixodidae.